This is an RNA transcript of Triticum aestivum (bread wheat), 2773 nucleotides long. RefSeq lists it as uncharacterized. The transcript is spliced from 10 exons. The record is from RefSeq and is a predicted model, not a curated record. Lineage: Eukaryota; Viridiplantae; Streptophyta; Magnoliopsida; Poales; Poaceae.
UAUCCUCUUUCUUCUUCUCUGCUUGACUUUCUUCUCUGUGUGCCCGCCGCCGCCGCAGCCAUCUCUGGCCGCCGUGGCUACCUCCGUCGUGGGGAUGCAGACCAGCUUUUCCACGCCCCAACGCCGCCCCUCCCAACAUCACCGACCUCCCCACACAUCUCGAACUCGGACUCGGAGAGGAGUCCAUGUUGCGUGUGUCUUGGAGUCAUGUCCGAGGAGGAGAUGUUCAGGAGCACGUGGCCGUUUGGUGCAUGGAAAUUGAUGCUAUAAGAAGGAACCCCUCGGCCACGAUUAGCUCGCAUCGCAUGUUUCUUGCCCAACACAUCGCCGUGCUGCAAGUUUCAUACAUCGCCGUUCUUGUACACCGUUGAUUUCUCGGGGAUCCGUCUGCAUCGCCGUUCUUGUACACCAUUGAUUUCGACGGAGAUCCGUCUGCAUUGCACGUGCUCCAUCGCCUGCCAGAAUUUCGCCUGGCCUGAGGGAAACAAUGGCUCGACGUCGCCGGGUCGCAGCACAAAAUUGACUGGUCCCAGCAAAAAAAAAGAACAAUUACAGCAAAAGAAAAUCGCCAUCGCGGUCACAGAAAGUGGAUGACAACACUGAAUUGACCAUUGUUGAGGAUUUUGAUAACCGACCUUCAAAAAAAAAACGAAAUGUAUGGAAUCCAGUGUUUUGGAGCAAUCACCUACGUCACCAAUCAUCUCAACAUUACCUUCACUCUCAAAAAGUUUUGUAUCGAUGGUUCUUGAGUCAGAUAAUCAAACAAAUAGUGAUCCAUUGCCAGCACCUCCAUCACCAACUAGCUUACCAUUAUCUCUGAAUGCUGAAUUGCCCCUGAAUGAAGGAAAUAUUUCACUAGAUGAUGAUAAGCAAGCAGAGAAUGCUGAAUUGCCCUUGAAUGAAGCAAAUAUUUCAUUACAUGAUGAUAAUCAAACAGAGAAUUCUGAAUUGCCCCCGAAUCAAGGAAAUAUUUCAUUAGAUGAUGACAAGAAAAUAGAGGAACAUGAAACAUAUGACUAUCUCCCACAAGAUUAUACAUUGACAGACCGUGAUGUAUGUGCUCAUAUAGCAAUAGAAACAUCUUUUGAAAAACAAUUGCUGGUGAAGAUAGAUGAAAUAUCUGUGAAAUAACAUCAACUGAAUGAAAAAGAGUGGCUAAAUGAUGAUGAAAUCAGCGCAUAUAUAUGUUGUAUAAAGGACCAAGUACAGGUCCAUAACGAUAGUGAAGUAUAUUUUGGGAAUCCUUUGUUACCGCACUGUUAAAACGGGAUGGCAAGCUUGGAAUACAUAAAGAUGGUACCUUUAUGACAGAGAUUGUCAAAAACUAUGUGAAGCAUGACAUGGUACAAGGGCUACAAUAUCAUUUGGACAUUCUGAAAAGUGAAAAUUUAAUUAGUCCUAAUUGGAAAGACUUUGAUGUUAGUAAAUGGAAGAUAGUAGAACAACUACAGCAGCCAAUUCAAAAAGAUAGUUCAUCUUGUGGUCUAUUUAUGCUUAAAUUCAUGGAAUAUUAGACUGGAUAUGCACUAUCCUAUCCAAUUACACAGGAAAGUAUGGGUACAGAGCUCCAACCCAUAUACAAUUAGGCUGACUCUUAAAAAACUACAAACAAUUCUAAAGGAUGAUUCUCCCACGGAUCCUGAUUGUUUCAAUAUGGUCGUGUGCAAAUUUAUGUUUGAUGACAUCCAAACGGCCAAAAAGAAAAAGGGAUUGAUAUCAAAACAUUAUCUAGACAUGCAAUUUUGGAUGAUUACUGAUUUUGGACGACAUCCAAACUUCUGAAAAGAGUUAGAUGUGGAACAACUAGCAUAUUCUGUUUGUAGUUGGCCCGGUUUCAACUAUAAUAUUUCAACAUGCAAAUCUGUAAGAGCAUUUCUCAGUUACUUUCAACACGACAUUUUUUUACAUCUAAUAUCUAGGAUAUUACAGAUUCAUAUUCCAGUACAUUCCAAUGGUGAUUUCAUUCUCUUCAUAUUGGACAAAGAUACACAUACUGUCCAUAUUUUGGAUCCUACGCCUAUCGAUCCUAUCUACCAAUACAACCCACACGCAAAAUAUUUGCACAGACUUAUGGAUUGCAGAAUAUUUACCGAAAGCAAUGUCAAAGGCAUGCCCUGGGUCUAGAUGGAAUGAGAAUAUUCUCCUAUGGCGGCAUAAAAUCGUAGAUGAUAUUCCCGUUUACAACGGGUAACAUUUUUCAAGAUAUAAAAACUAUACACUAAGUAUUUGGUUUACUGAAUAUGUAUAAUAUAUGUUCUCAACAUCAACUAACGAUAUAUGUAUGUAUUGUAUCAGGGAACUGUCUGGUUAUCUUAUUACCCUCUACAUGUCUACAUGGGAAGAUGGAAAACUGCAUUUACCAUUUCUAAAGGAUGGAUACGAACUCAGGGAACAAAUUUUGGGACAUCUUCUAACAUUCGAGGACAAUGAAUCUGAAGAUGGCAUGCCUGCCGGUGUCCUGGACUUCAUCAAUUGUAUCAGGAUGAAGAAGCUAUCAACUAUAUGUCCAACUGCUGCUCCUAAAUUAUCUCGACAAUCCUAGAUGCUGUAACGCACCAGCUUGAUCCUAAAGUUUAGUAUGUUCAGCUUAGGGAACUACAUAGGUUUAGCCAAUAGUACCAGCUCAAUCAUAAAGUUUAGUUUGUUCAGCUUAGGGAACUACAUAGGUUUAGACAAUAGUAAUGCUUUGCUUUCUGUACAAGAUCUUAGUUAAAAGAAUAUAUUGCUUCUGAUGCUUACAUGGCAUAACCAAAAAUCAGUUUAACAUUGGCAA